Molecule: ribosomal RNA, 114 nt
Filed under: Haplochromis burtoni (Burton's mouthbrooder)
Lineage: Eukaryota; Metazoa; Chordata; Actinopteri; Cichliformes; Cichlidae
Source: RNAcentral
GCUUACGGCCAUACCACCCUGAACACGCCCGAUCUCGUCUGAUCUCGGAAGCUAAGCAGGGUCUGGUCAGUACUUGGAUGGGAGACCGCCUGGGAAUACCAGGUGCUGUAAGCU